UAUCGCCAUCCAACUGCAUAUUUUUGAAGUAACUCUAGCCCUUCGGAUUCAACUAAGCUGAUUAAUGUAGAGAGUGUUGUAUAUAAAUUGUAAAUUUGAAGCAGCUACACGUAUUAUUAACUUAGUUACUAUAACUGAAGUUUGCACAUUCAAUAUGUAAUUCAUCCUUUGCUCUAUGAAUGUAGUAUAAUUAAGCCAA
RNAcentral lists this long non-coding RNA (199 nucleotides) under Salvia miltiorrhiza (redroot sage). RNAcentral's name for it is "long non-coding RNA (SMIL_LNC013978)". The record is from RNAcentral. Lineage: Eukaryota; Viridiplantae; Streptophyta; Magnoliopsida; Lamiales; Lamiaceae.